GCAAGUCGAACGGCAGCGCGGACUUCGGUCUGGCGGCGAGUGGCGAACGGGUGAGUAAUACAUCGGAACGUACCCUGUUGUGGGGGAUAACUAGUCGAAAGAUUAUCUAAUACCGCAUACUAUCUGAGGGUGGAAGUGGGGGACCGCAAGGCCUCACGCAGCAGGAGGGGCCGAUGUCUGAUUAGCUAGUUGGUGAGGUAACGGCUCACCAAGGCAAUGAUCCGUAGCGGGUCUGAGAGGACGAUC
RNAcentral lists this ribosomal RNA (246 nucleotides) under uncultured bacterium. RNAcentral describes it as "partial 16S ribosomal RNA". It matches the Rfam family "Bacterial small subunit ribosomal RNA", at positions 57 to 305 of the family's 1533-position model. The record is from RNAcentral.